RNAcentral lists this long non-coding RNA (411 nucleotides) under Rattus norvegicus (Norway rat). RNAcentral describes it as "long non-coding RNA NONRATT015520". Lineage: Eukaryota; Metazoa; Chordata; Mammalia; Rodentia; Muridae. The record is from RNAcentral.
CCUAAAUAUCUAUGCUCCAAAUGCAAGGAAUUUGAACCUACGAAUCAAUUCAUAAAAGAAACCUUACUAAGCUCAAAUAAGACAUUGCACCUCCCACAAUAAUACUGGGAGAUAUCAAUAGCCCUCCUUCAUGAAAGUACAGAUCAUAGAAUCAGAAACCAAACAGAGAAAUAGAAAAACUAAUGGAAGUUAUGAUCAAAUAAAUUUAGCAUAUAUUUAUAGAACACUUCAUCCAAAUCCAAAACAACAUACCUGCCUCUCAGCACCUGAUGGUACUUUCUCCACAAAUGAACAUAUAAUUGUUCACAAAAUAGGCCUUAACAUAUACAAGAAGAUUGAAAUAAUCUCAUGCAUCCUAUCAAAUAACCACAGAUUAAAGCCUGUCUUCAAUAACAACAAAAACAACAGAAA